Molecule: long non-coding RNA, 148 nt
Organism: Etheostoma cragini (Arkansas darter)
Lineage: Eukaryota; Metazoa; Chordata; Actinopteri; Perciformes; Percidae
Exons: 3
Source: RefSeq, a predicted model, not a curated record
GGCCGCCGGUGGGCAUCUGGCUUCAGUCACUCAGAAGAGGAACAUGUAAUCCUCAAAACCUUCAUUAACCAAGUGAGCGGUGAAUACAAACGGACCUGGAUCGGAGGCUUUGACUCAGUGAAGGAGGAUGUUGGUGGUCUGAUGGGUC